UGGCGGCAGGCUUAACACAUGCAAGUCGAACGGUUGUAGCAAUACAGCAGUGGCAGACGGGUGAGUAACACGUGGGAACCUUCCUAGGGGUACGGAACAACUCAGGGAAACUUGAGCUAAUACCGUAUACGUCCGUGAGGAGAAAGAUUUAUCGCCCUUAGACGGGCCCGCGUCGGAUUAGCUAGUUGGUGGGGUAACGGCCUACCAAGGCGACGAUCCGUAGCUGAUCUUAGAGGAUGAUCAGCCACACUGGGACUGAGACACGGCCCAGACUCCUACGGGAGGCAGCAGUGGGGAAUCUUGGACAAUGGGCGCAAGCCUGAUCCAGCCAUGCCGCGUGAGUGAAGAAGGUCUUCGGAUUGUAAAGCUCUUUUACCAGGGACGAUAAUGACGGUACCUGGAGAAUAAGCCCCGGCAAACUUCGUGCCAGCAGCCGCGGUAAUACGAAGGGGGCUAGCGUUGUUCGGAAUUACUGGGCGUAAAGCGCACGUAGGCGGGUCGUUAAGUCAGGGGUGAAAUCCCGGAGCUCAACUCCGGAACUGCCUUUGAUACUGGCGAUCUUGAGAUCGGAAGAGGUGAGUGGAAUUCCCAGUGUAGAGGUGAAAUUCGUAGAUAUUGGGAAGAACACCAGUGGCGAAGG
RNAcentral lists this ribosomal RNA (640 nucleotides) under uncultured bacterium. RNAcentral describes it as "bacterial SSU rRNA". It matches the Rfam family "Bacterial small subunit ribosomal RNA", at positions 37 to 721 of the family's 1533-position model. The record is from RNAcentral.